RNAcentral lists this ribosomal RNA (492 nucleotides) under uncultured bacterium. RNAcentral describes it as "partial 16S ribosomal RNA". It matches the Rfam family "Bacterial small subunit ribosomal RNA", at positions 29 to 507 of the family's 1533-position model. The record is from RNAcentral.
AGUGAACGCUGGCGGUAGGCCUAACACAUGCAAGUCGAACGGCAGCACAGUAAGAGCUUGCUCUUACGGGUGGCGAGUGGCGGACGGGUGAGGAAUACAUCGGAAUCUACUUUUUCGUGGGGGAUAACGUAGGGAAACUUACGCUAAUACCGCAUACGACCUACGGGUGAAAGCAGGGGAUCUUCGGACCUUGCGCGAUUGAAUGAGCCGAUGUCGGAUUAGCUAGUUGGCGGGGUAAAGGCCCACCAAGGCGACGAUCCGUAGCUGGUCUGAGAGGAUGAUCAGCCAAAAUGGAACUGAGACACGGGCCAGACUCCUAAGGGAGGGAGCAGUGGGGAAAAUUGGACAAAGGGCGGAAGGCUGAACCAGCCAUAACGGGUGGGUGAAGGAGGCCUUCGGGUUGUAAAGCCCUUUUGUUGGGAAAGAAAAGGAGCAGGUUAAAACCCCGCUGUUCUGAAGGUAACCAAAGAAUAAGCAACGGCUAAAUUCGUG